RNAcentral lists this transfer RNA (76 nucleotides) under Nitrospira sp. RNAcentral describes it as "tRNA-Ala". It matches the Rfam family "tRNA". Rfam says of the family: Transfer RNA (tRNA) molecules are approximately 80 nucleotides in length. Their secondary structure includes four short double-helical elements and three loops (D, anti-codon, and T loops). Further hydrogen bonds mediate the characteristic L-shaped molecular structure. tRNAs have two regions of fundamental functional importance: the anti-codon, which is responsible for specific mRNA codon recognition, and the 3' end, to which the tRNAs corresponding amino acid is attached (by aminoacyl-tRNA synthetases). tRNAs cope with the degeneracy of the genetic code in two manners: having more than one tRNA (with a specific anti-codon) for a particular amino acid; and 'wobble' base-pairing, i.e. permitting non-standard base-pairing at the 3rd anti-codon position. The record is from RNAcentral. Lineage: Bacteria; Pseudomonadati; Nitrospirota; Nitrospiria; Nitrospirales; Nitrospiraceae. RNAcentral also lists the same sequence under 15 other names.
GGGGCUGUAGCUCAGCUGGGAGAGCACCUGCUUUGCAAGCAGGGGGUCGUCGGUUCGAUCCCGAUCAGCUCCACCA